Non-coding RNA from Rattus norvegicus (Norway rat), 1837 nucleotides. The record is from RefSeq and is a predicted model, not a curated record. Lineage: Eukaryota; Metazoa; Chordata; Mammalia; Rodentia; Muridae.
UCCAGACUGGAACAUGGUUUUUAUAUAAUAAAGAGCUGACAGCUGGAGCUGGGGUAGGAAGUGUGGGGGCGGGACCUCUGGCCAGACAGAGAUGCAGCCAGAGACACCGAUUGAGACACAGGAAGAGCAGGUAAGAGACAGACACAGAGACUUUAAGGAGGCAGAUGGAGCUGGAAGCAGGCAGUGACAGCCACAGGGAGAGAGGCAAUGGCAGGCCCAAGGGUAGCGCCCCUUUGGGACCCUGAAUAACUGGGUCCCCGCUGGCGGGGACAAGUGGCGCCCGAACACAGGGACCCCGAAGUACGGCCAACUACCAGACGACGGAGACAGGAGAUCUGCGGAGAAAUUGAGGACUCUCAGGCUGCAUCGCUCGUGCAUCACUGGAGAGGGAGGAUGCUACAAGAGUAUGCCAGCUGCCAGAGGUGGUUGCUGAGACUUGCUGAUCCUGGGAGCAUGAAGAAUCAGCUCUCCUGGUUCGGGUCCCUGGAGUCAUUCCUGUGUCCUUGGAGGAAUAUGGAGGAUUCCCACUCAUCUUUUGUCAUCACAGAAAUUCUGGCAUUGCUGCAGUCAUUGUGUCCCGUCCCACCGCGGCCUGCGCUCCGACCCUCUGUGCACUGCUGCUUGCUGGAAGCUGCUGUGGACUGGGGAACUCUGCCCUGGUUCUGCAGAUCUCAGACAUGGUUCCCUUGUCUGCUGGUUGUUCCAGAGAUCCUGAAGUGUCCUGGGAAAGACCUUGGCACUUUCGCUGCUAUUGUAGCAGCCAUUACUGCUGCAGCCAUUGUGUCUGUAGUGUCUGGAGUUACCCUCCCCCCAUUCUAUUGUUAAGCAAGCACAGUGGGUGAACUUUCUGGAGUAGUUGCUAACAAUUGGGAAUUCUAAAUUUUAUUACAGGAGAGGCUUGACUAGGCACUUGGUGGUAGCAGCUGAGGAGAACCAGAGAGAUAACGAACCAGAUGAGGUGCCCACUACUUAUCGGGAGAGGCUCAAUUUCCACAAUCUCUUAUAUUAAUGCCAUCUGGCUUCUACUCUUUCGCCCCUGGGCUCAAGUAAGAGGAAUGAGAAGAUGAUCCAAUGUAGCUAUCCUCAGGGAUGGGCAACUUCCUCUGACCCUUGACCAAUCUAAGACAUGGUGCCUUGGGGGUGACAAGGUGAUCCUAUGACAGAUAAGGCUGGGGUUCGAGAGGUCGAUCCUAAGACAGAGGUGGCUACACCCCGUUUAAAUGUACGGGCCGGUCAAAUGCUCCUCUGCCCAGUUUCUCCCCCAAAUAACACACACGUAUAGCCCAGAAUGGUGUGUUACAGCAUAAGUUCAUUCCUAGCCAUUGGGGUGCAGUCCUAACUGCAAGAGUGGCUUGCCAUGGCCGAGCUGGGCACUCUGUGAGGCAUGUCUGAUCUCUCUCAGACCACUACUUCCACCUAAUGGUCUUUUAUAAAAGAAAAAUGGGGGAGAUGCACGGAGCCAUAUUGGAUUUGGGCCUAGCCGCUUUUUGACUGCAUGGUUCAAAGUGAUUCUGGGCUGUUUGGCCACAGAGACUCACCUCUAAGAUGACUGCCAUAAGUCUUAAGAUUGUUGGACAAAGCCUCUCCCAUGAAUUUACGGCACAGGAAGAUAACAUUCAAGGGAUGCCUCAGCUCGAGCAGAUACCAGUGAUCUCCUCAGUCAACACCCAGUGUCUCCACCACCUGACCUCAUCGCCUGACCUCUUUGCCUCCAUCUAUCACUGCCUAUAUACCCUCAUCUCCCCCCUCCUUCAUAUUUCACAAAGGUCACUCCCCCUACCUGAAAGCCCUAAAAGCUGUAACGUUCAUCUCAAUAAAUGAGACCUUGACAACAGAA